GGCAACUUGGCCGAGUGGUCUAAGGCGCUGGAAUUAGGUUACUUCAAAACCAUCCAGUCCUCCGGGGCGUGAGUUCGAACCUCACAGUUGUCA
Molecule: non-coding RNA, 93 nt
Organism: Lyophyllum atratum
Lineage: Eukaryota; Fungi; Basidiomycota; Agaricomycetes; Agaricales; Lyophyllaceae
Source: the annotation of a GenBank genome assembly